This 301-nucleotide ribosomal RNA is filed under the name uncultured bacterium. RNAcentral's name for it is "partial 16S ribosomal RNA". It matches the Rfam family "Bacterial small subunit ribosomal RNA", at positions 509 to 809 of the family's 1533-position model. The record is from RNAcentral.
CAGCCGCCGCGGUAAUACGAAGGGUGCAAGCGUUACUCGGAAUUACUGGGCGUAAAGCGUGCGUAGGUGGUGGUUUAAGUCCGUUGUGAAAGCCCUGGGCUCAACCUGGGAAUUGCAGUGGAUACUGGAUCACUAGAGUGUGGUAGAGGAUAGUGGAAUUUCCGGUGUAGCAGUGAAAUGCGUAGAGAUCGGAAGGAACAUCUGUGGCGAAGGCGACUAUCUGGGCCAACACUGACACUGAGGCACGAAAGCGUGGGGAGCAAACAGGAUUAGAUACCCGCGUAGUCCCUGUCUCUUAUAU